RNAcentral lists this ribosomal RNA (549 nucleotides) under Triticum aestivum (bread wheat). RNAcentral's name for it is "partial small subunit ribosomal RNA". Lineage: Eukaryota; Viridiplantae; Streptophyta; Magnoliopsida; Poales; Poaceae. The record is from RNAcentral.
AUGUGGCAACAAUUUUCUGAAAUAGUAGGAAUGAUGCCUAAGAGACAAGCAACCCCAGAGCAAGUAGAAACUUACAUGAACCAAGAGAGAUCCAAGAGGCGAGAGAUGCUGCAGAAAUUUCUGGACCACUGUCGCAACUUUCAGGUUAACGUCGAUGUGUACCUCAUCGAGAGUGAUCAAAUCGCUGAUGCGGUCGCUGAACUUAUCCCUGUUCUGAAUAUAAAGCAGCUAGUACUUGGGGUGGCAAAAUCCAACUUGCGGAAGUUGAAGAAAGGAAACACAAUAGCAGGACAGAUACAGAAGAAUGCACCUCUCUACUGCGAAGUCAAGAUUGUCUGUGAUGACAAGGAAGUCGCAGCGGCGACGACUGCUGAUCCGACACCACCAUUUUCACCUUCCCCUGUAAAUAACAACAGCAGAUCUCGCACCCCGACACCGCCAUCAUCUACGCCAAAUCACAAUAGCAUAGAGGCAGUUGAUGGCAAAAAUGAUAGCAAAACCAAAGAAAGAAGGAAGAUUCCCAAGUUUCUAAGGUGCCUGUCAUCCUGA